Dreissena polymorpha is the source of this 297-nucleotide long non-coding RNA. RefSeq lists it as uncharacterized. The record is from RefSeq and is a predicted model, not a curated record. NCBI's taxonomy places the organism in Eukaryota, Metazoa, Mollusca, Bivalvia, Myida, Dreissenidae. The transcript has 3 exons.
UGGCGGAAGCUCUUCUUGUUGGGACACAUCACGUGGUGACCAGACAGUUCGAAAGUGUCCACCAGUUCAUGAUUGGAAAAUACAAUAAUUUGACAACUACACGAGUGGAACAACAGUUCGAAUUGUGUAUGCUUAGUGUUGAAAGUCGUGAGGGACAUUUGCAACCAGUGGCCAGUCAAGAGGCAGAAUAUGGAAAUAUUGGGGUACACGUGACUGAAAUAGAUGCAUAUCGACCCCAACCUUAUAGGAGGAGUGAACCACCAGUUGAAAUGUAUCUCCCUGUAAGUUAAUUCUACA